Long non-coding RNA from Oreochromis aureus, 969 nucleotides. The record is from Ensembl. NCBI's taxonomy places the organism in Eukaryota, Metazoa, Chordata, Actinopteri, Cichliformes, Cichlidae.
GCACUUCAUUAGGUUUGGAGUGAUGACAGCUUAUUUCUAUUUUAACCAUCUUGAGUUCUAAUCUAAAGAUAUCUAAAGUAUCAGAUCUGAUGAUCAGUGUGUUUGUUUCUCGGCCAAAGGUCCUGAAACCAAAGGCAGUCCUCUUCAGGCACAGCUACAUGACCUCUGUGCUGGCAGUGAGGCAGAGAGGCUGGAUGGUUUUCUUCAUUGGGACAGGAGACGGGCAGCUCAUUAAGCAAGAUCUUCCAAAUACAAACACCACUCUUCAAAUCAACUCCAGGCCUUUUAUCUACUCAACUGAUCAUCACAUGCUGUCUGUGGACAGGAAGUAUCACGCUGCCUGUCCCACGGUGCUCUACAGGACCAGUGAUGACCGCAAAGUGAUUCCCAAAUUACAUCUGGAUCCAGUGGAUCGUAAACAUGUGUAUGUGCCAUUUAGAAACCAGAUGAAGCGAGUUCCUGUGUCAAAGUGCAGCACGUACACAAAUGUGCAGGAGUGUUGGUCUGCACAGGAUGGUGUGGCUCUAAAAGCAGCUGCACAUUUGAAGAUGACUGCACAGAUUCAGACUGGCUGUCCAUUCCUGAUGAGUCCCAACACAAAAUGAUUUCCCACAAAGUUGAAAAGGACACAAAUGGACAGGUUUUACUAAAAAUGCACACACACCUGAUCGUGGGCCAAGAAGUGUCGUCUAACUUUAUCUGUCAGUUCGCUGCAAGGUCUGGCUCAAUUUGUGCUCCGAAUAACCCUCCUCCACAGUUCCCACAAUGCACCUGCAUCCUGUCUGAUCGUACACUUCCUGCUGAUGGGCAGUGACUUUUCAUAAAUUAAAUACUUUGCAGUCAGACCUACUUACUGAUUUGCAACAUCUCCCAACCAGCAAAAUAGAAACAUUACAGAGCUGACUCUGACAGAUGAAUACUCUUUACUAGUUGACAAAUCUGAGCUGUUCGUUAUUAUAAACUGUGCAA